This 903-nucleotide ribosomal RNA is filed under the name Bacillus licheniformis. RNAcentral describes it as "bacterial SSU rRNA". It matches the Rfam family "Bacterial small subunit ribosomal RNA". The record is from RNAcentral. Lineage: Bacteria; Bacillati; Bacillota; Bacilli; Caryophanales; Bacillaceae.
CUAAGUUUGUAUCCCUGGGGUAGCGAGCGUGGCGGCGUGCUAUACAUGCCAGUCGAGCGGACAGAUGGGAGCUUGCUCUGAUGUCAGCGGCGGACGGGUGAGUAACACGUGGGUAACCUGCCUGUAAGACUGGGAUAACUCCGGGAAACCGGGGCUAAUACCGGAUGCUUGAUUGAACCGGCAUGGUUCAAUUAUAAAAGGUGGCUUUUAGCUAUCACUUACAGAUGGACCGCGGCGCAUUAGCUAGUUGGUGAGGUAACGGCUCAUCAAGGCGACGAUGCGUAGCCGACCUGAGAGGGUGAUCGGCCACACUGGGACUGAGACACGGCCCAGACUCCUACGGGAGGCAGCAGUAGGGAAUCUUCCGCAAUGGACGAAAGUCUGACGGAGCAACGCCGCGUGAGUGAUGAAGGUUUUCGGAUCGUAAAACUCUGUUGUUAGGGAAGAACAAGUACCGUUCGAAUAGGGCGGUACCUUGACGGUACCUAACCAGAAAGCCACGGCUAACUACGUGCCAGCAGCCGCGGUAAUACGUAGGUGGCAAGCGUUGUCCGGAAUUAUUGGGCGUAAAGCGCGCGCAGGCGGUUUCUUAAGUCUGAUGUGAAAGCCCCCGGCUCAACCGGGGAGGGUCAUUGGAAACUGGGGAACUUGAGUGCAGAAGAGGAGAGUGGAAUUCCACGUGUAGCGGUGAAAUGCGUAGAGAUGUGGAGGAACACCAGUGGCGAAGGCGACUCUCUGGUCUGUAACUGACGCUGAGGCGCGAAAGCGUGGGGAGCGAACAGGAUUAGAUACCCUGGUAGUCCACGCCGUAAACGAUGAGUGCUAAGUGUUAGAGGGUUUCCGCCCUUUAGUGCUGCAGCACAACGCAGUAUAAAGCACUCCGCCUUGGGAUCUCCCUCCAUU